GCUCCCAUCGUCUAGCCCGGUCAGGACGCCAGGUUUUCAUCCUGGUAACAGGGGUUCGAAUCCCCUUGGGAGUA
This 74-nucleotide transfer RNA is filed under the name Bacteroidota bacterium. RNAcentral describes it as "Bacteroidetes bacterium (grounwater metagenome) tRNA-Glu". It matches the Rfam family "tRNA". Rfam says of the family: Transfer RNA (tRNA) molecules are approximately 80 nucleotides in length. Their secondary structure includes four short double-helical elements and three loops (D, anti-codon, and T loops). RNAcentral also lists the same sequence under 1 other name. Lineage: Bacteria; Pseudomonadati; Bacteroidota. The record is from RNAcentral.